GAUGAACGCUGGCGGCGUGCCUAAUACAUGCAAGUCGAGCGAACGGACGAGAAGCUUGCUUUUCUGAUGUUAGCGGCGGACGGGUGAGUAACACGUGGAUAACCUACCUAUAAGACUGGGAUAACUUCGGGAAACCGGAUCUAAUACCGGAUAAUAUUUUGAACCGCAUGGUUCAAAAGUGAAAGACGUUCUUGCUGUCACUUAUAGAUGGUUCCGCGCUGCAUUAGCUAGUUGGUAGGGUAACGGCUUACCAAGGCAACGAUGCAUAGCCGACCUGAGAGGGUGAUCGGCCACACUGGAACUGAGACACGGUCCAGACUACUACGGGAGGCAGCAGUAGGGAAUAUUCCGCAAAGGGCGAAAGCCUGACGGAGCAACGCCGCGUGAGUGAUGAAGGUCUUCGGAUCGUAAAACUCUGUUAUUAGGGAAGAACAGAUGUGUAAGUAAAUGUGCACAUCUUGACGGUACCUAAUCAAAAAGCAACGGCUAACUACGUG
RNAcentral lists this ribosomal RNA (497 nucleotides) under uncultured bacterium. Its description in RNAcentral is "partial 16S ribosomal RNA". It matches the Rfam family "Bacterial small subunit ribosomal RNA", at positions 28 to 507 of the family's 1533-position model. The record is from RNAcentral.